Molecule: ribosomal RNA, 406 nt
Filed under: uncultured bacterium
Lineage: Bacteria
Description: partial 16S ribosomal RNA
Rfam family: Bacterial small subunit ribosomal RNA
Source: RNAcentral
AUUGAACGCUGGCGGCAGGCCUAACACAUGCAAGUCGAGCGAGUGGCGGACGGGUGAGUAAUGUCUGGGGAUCUGCCUGAUGGAGGGGGAUAACUACUGGAAACGGUGGCUAAUACCGCAUACUAUCGGAUGAACCCAGAUGGGAUUAGCUAGUAGGUUGGGUAAAGGCGCACCUAGGCGACGAUCUCUAGCUGGUCUGAGAGGAUGACCAGCCACACUGGAACUGAGACACGGUCCAGACUCCUACGGGAGGCAGCAGUGGGGAAUAUUGCACAAUGGGCGCAAGCCUGAUGCAGCCAUGCCGCGUGUAUGAAGAAGGCCUUAGGGUUGUAAAGUACUUUCAGCGGGGAGGCGUUACCCGCAGAAGAAGCACCGGCUAACUCCGUGCCAGCAGCCGCGGUAAUAC